Molecule: ribosomal RNA, 823 nt
Filed under: uncultured bacterium
Lineage: Bacteria
Description: bacterial SSU rRNA
Rfam family: Bacterial small subunit ribosomal RNA
Source: RNAcentral
AUUACCGGUGGCGAAGGCGGCCCCUGGACGAAGACUGACGCUCAGGUGCGAAAGCGUGGGGAGCAAACAGGAUUAGAUACCUGGUAGUCCACGCGUAAACGAUGUCGACUUGGAGGUUGUGCCCUUGAGGCGUGGCUUCCGGAGCUAACGCGUUAAGUCGACCGCCUGGGGAGUACGGCCGCAAGGUUAAAACUCAAAUGAAUUGACGGGGGCCCGCACAAGCGGUGGAGCAUGUGGUUUAAUUCGAUGCAACGCGAAGAACCUUGCCUGGUCUUGACAUCCACAGAACUUUCCAGAGAUGGGUUGGUGCCUUCGGGAACUGUGAGACAGGUGCUGCAUGGCUGUCGUCAGCUCGUGUUGUGAAAUGUUGGGUUAAGUCCCGCAACGAGCGCAACCCUUAUCUUUUGUUGCCAGCGGUCCGGCCGGGAACUCAAAGGAGACUGCCAGUGAUAAACUGGAGGAAGGUGGGGAUGACGUCAAGUCAUCAUGGCCCUUACGACCAGGGCUACACACGUGCUACAAUGGCGCAUACAAAGAGAAGCGACCUCGCGAGAGCAAGCGGACCUCAUAAAGUGCGUCGUAGUCCGGAUUGGAGUCUGCAACUCGACUCAUGAAGUCGGAAUCGCUAGUAGUCGUGGAUCAGAAUGCCACGGUGAAUACGUUCCCGGGCCUUGUACACACCGCCCGUCACACCAUGGGAGUGGGUUGCAAAAGAAGUAGGUAGCUUAACCUUCGGGAGGGCGCUUACCACUUUGUGAUUCAUGACUGGGGUGAAGUCGUAACAAGGUAACCGUAGGGGAACCUGCGGCUGGAUCACCUCCUU